AUGCUUUAAAUAACUAUUAAGUUAUAAAAUCGGUACGUUUCUGAAGCAAUCUUAUUCUUUUGAUAAAUUAAUUUGAGGCUGCUGAAAAAUAAUUCUGUUGAACCUGUAAUAACCUGUCAAAUUCUGAUAUCAACCACACAAAGCUCGUAUAUAGACUUAGUAACAGACUUUAGUCAGUGUAGCUUCAUUUAUUUUUGACAGGAAUGAAAACGAGGCUGUGAGGGAUUGAAGUACAGUUAAGUGAAUUGUACGGCGUGUGGAAUGGAACAUCAGCUGACUAAACAGGAAAUAAAAAAAAAACAGAAGUAGACAAAAAGUCAAUAAAACAGUUUUGAAAGUUCUGAGUUAUGAGGUAUGUUAUGAUAUUUUAUGAUCUGGGACCUUUAUUCAGUGUGCGCCAGUGUAAACACUCAGCCUCCUUUUCAUCCGAUAUGGCGUCUAACCUGACUAAGGAUCCAUCAUGGUUUGGUCUGAUUUCUGAUUUCUCAUCUUCAGGCAGAGAUGUGUGAUUUUUCCUAAUAGUCAGCAUCACGUCUUUGGGGUAGAAGCCAGUGGCCAUACAGGUAUCCUUUGGUGUAUUGGUUUAGGAUCGGCACACUGUCCCAUUUUCUCUUGGUUGGUAGAGCUGCAUCAAUAAAGGCGACCCAUUGAGACUCUUUAAUAUCAAAAGACAAGAAGUUUUCUCCAUCAUAGCCGUACUCAUCAAUGCCUUUGAGAAACUUCACUUCAUCUCCCUGCUGCUCAACUUCACAACCGUGUCUUCACUGAAGAACAUGAAGAUCUGACAUGGAGAAGAGUCAAAAUGUUUGUGAGAUGAUGAUGAUAAUAAUAAUAAUAAUAAUAAACAUAAUAAGAUAAUCAUAUGCAGGUUAAACUGUAUGAAUGUUCCUCACCUGAUUCAUUGUGUCUCAUUCGGUCCAUCAUAAUGUGGACGUUCACAUUAAACCACUGUUCUUUA
This is a long non-coding RNA of Ctenopharyngodon idella (grass carp), 958 nucleotides long. RefSeq lists it as uncharacterized. The record is from RefSeq and is a predicted model, not a curated record. The transcript is spliced from 3 exons. NCBI's taxonomy places the organism in Eukaryota, Metazoa, Chordata, Actinopteri, Cypriniformes, Xenocyprididae.